RNA transcript from Trifolium pratense (red clover), 2318 nucleotides. It is a transcript of the gene named ADP-ribosylation factor GTPase-activating protein AGD3-like, with no coding region annotated. NCBI's taxonomy places the organism in Eukaryota, Viridiplantae, Streptophyta, Magnoliopsida, Fabales, Fabaceae. The record is from RefSeq and is a predicted model, not a curated record. The transcript has 7 exons.
CAAACUGUCGCCGCCUACCCACUACAAAAAAAAAGAGGAUUAACGACACAAUGAUAAGGUGGUUUAGAACCGCUGCUGCAUGUUCCUAAGUAAAAUUUUCAUUCUCUCACUUAUAUAUUUUUGUGAUUCCCACAAGAAAGAAAGAACACGAGAAAGCGCUGAAAUCCUUCUUCUCCAAACUGUUGCCGUCUCAAAUCACGAUGUCUUCUCCAAAACCCUUUCAUCUCCAAAUCGUCUUCUGCAAACCAUCGUGAGAGUUCCAACUCGUCAUAUCUCCUGUUCAUCUCCGUCGUGACCGAGUUCGAGACACCGAUUGAUACAAAUCCCUUCGAUUUCUACACAUAGUUGCUUCCAAUCUCUUCGAUUUCGAAGCUCAAACCUUCAAUCUAUUUGAUUCGCAGCCCAAUCCUCCAAUCCCUUUGAUUGCGCUAAUCAGAUUGUAAGUACAAUUUUUUUUAAAAGUAAUUGAGAAUUCCAAUGUCAAAGAAAGAUAAAGAAUUUAAUGAGUUAUUUAGCUUGUGUGGUUUAUUUAACACUUAAAUCAAAUUUGAAGUACGUAUUUGAGUAGUCAUUUCCUUUCAUGUUGUGAGCUGUUAUGUCGUAUACAUGAGAUUGAGUUUAUUUAACAUAUUACUGCUCUGAGAAUAAUAUGAAUUUGUACUGAGCAUCUGCAAUGCAUGGGUGUUAAUUGUAGAACUUAUUGCAUGUAAAUAAGCAUAGACUGUGGAGCUGUUUCUUGGUUGGUAACUUGUUUAAUCAAAUACCCUGUAUUGCUACAUAUAAGGUAUAGAAUAGAAAGGAAAGUAAGGAGGGAAAUAGAGCCAUUGUAACUGAAAUAUAUAUCUAAUUAAUCUCGUCUAAUUGACUAACUAAUUCCUCUAAUUGUUCCUAACUGACAUCCACUCUUACUAACUACUCUUAAACAUUCAUUUCCCUUCUAAACCGUAGCAUAAUCUGGAUGAUUCAUUGCUCAACAGUUCAAUCAUUGUUAAUUUGUUACCCUUAUUAUUCUGAUAAAUAUUGAAUUUAAAGUUUUCAAAACACAAGUAGCUUGCACCUGAGCUUUAUUUAUGCUUCCACAUAAAGUUUCUUGGUGUACCUUAAAUUGAAAGUGCGGGCAUUAGUGAAUAAAUAUUCACAAUUUUGGUAAGCUCAAAUAGAACUAUACCUGCAUUUGUCUAAGGUAACCUCAAAUACUCUUUUUUGUCCAUUAACUUCUAAAAUAUAGUUUUUCUUUUAUAAUAAUGUCUAUUUUGUGAUGAAGUUCCUUAAUAAAGUUAGUAAUAUACAAUUUUGUGUUUUAGCGGUUUCUUUAUUCUUGCUACUAGAAAGCAUUUUUUGUACUGGUGUUUAUAAUCCUCUUACUGAUAGUGUGCAUAUAAGAUAUGGAAGAUUAGUUCCUUGAAUCAACAGUUUUGAUUCAUGAGGAGAAUCAUAAACACAUGGCUGCAUUUAAAUUGCAGAAAGUAUACAAUAGUUUUUGCACGUGAGGAAGGCUGGCCGAUUAUGCAAUUCUUAUUGAACAAAGUGGGUCAAGACUAUUCGACAAGGUUAUCUCUCGAAGCGUUCCUCAAACUUAAGGGGGACUGGAAAAGGAGGUUUUUUCGUUCUUGAUAGCCGGGGAAAGUUGUAUUACUACCGUAAACAAUGCAGCAAACUAUUUGGGUCUAGUAGCCAACAUUUUGGUCAGAGGAAUAGUUUGGAGCUUGGUUUUGGACUUCUAAGUCGACAAAGAACUACACUUUACAAAUAGUGCACUAGACCAAAUGGACUGGAUUGAAAAAAUCACAGUUUGUUGAAUGAAGGAUUGUUUCUAAGUGGAUAAGAGGCUUGGAGUUCACCAAUCUAAUGUAGAACGUCUUCUGUGACAUGGUUCAGGGGAAGGCACAUGGUGCUAUAAUGUAGUGGAAGUUUCCUAUCCGUAUUGUUUAUCAUGGCCAAAUUGUGAAGGUGGUUUAUAUGACGACGAUGUGCACGUACACGCGGUUGCAAGCAUUAAAGUUUGCUUUGGAAUUGGGGGAUGUUUUUUUAUAGAAUUGGAUCUCAAGGUAUACCAUGAGUAAUUCAAGUGUGAAAUUAGAUGAUCUAUAUAGUUGAUUUUCUAUAUUGCUUUGUUGUCUAAGAGCUUGUAAGCAUCUUGUUUGUUUUGCUACACUUUUUAAUGUAAUAGUUUUAUGUUUAGUGUGUUAACUCAAAGCAAUUUUGAUGUAAACUUGUGAUAAUCAAUUACUUGAUAUGUUUAGUAAAAUAAUGUGUGGGGAUGUUGCGUGUUUUAGAUUUUGUUAUAUUGAUAUUAAUGGGAAUCAAGAGUGUUAAAU